AACGAACGCUGGCGGCGUACUUAACACAUGCAAGUCGUACGAGAAAGGAGACUUCGGUCUCUGAGUAAAGUGGCGUACGGGUGCGUAACACGUAAGUAAUCUACCCCGAACUCUGGGAUAACUCUCCGAAAGGAGGGCUAAUACUGGAUAGGGUCCCUGAGGUGUAGGCUGCAGGGGGAAAACGGGCCUCUGUUUCAUGCUCGUGGUUUGGGAUGAGCUUGCGGCCCAUUAGCUUGUUGGAGGGUAAUGGCCUACCAAGGCAACGAUGGGUAGCUGGUCUGAGAGGAUGAUCAGCCACAUUGGGACUGAGACACGGCCCAAACUCCUACGGGAGGCAGCAGUGGGGAAUAUUGGACAAUGGGCGAAAGCCUGAUCCAGCCAUGCCGCGUGAGUGAUGAAGGCCUUAGGGUUGUAAAG
RNAcentral lists this ribosomal RNA (417 nucleotides) under uncultured bacterium. RNAcentral describes it as "bacterial SSU rRNA". It matches the Rfam family "Bacterial small subunit ribosomal RNA", at positions 29 to 430 of the family's 1533-position model. The record is from RNAcentral.